RNAcentral lists this ribosomal RNA (595 nucleotides) under Ophiocordyceps ravenelii. RNAcentral describes it as "SSU rRNA". It matches the Rfam family "Eukaryotic small subunit ribosomal RNA", at positions 227 to 829 of the family's 1831-position model. Lineage: Eukaryota; Fungi; Ascomycota; Sordariomycetes; Hypocreales; Ophiocordycipitaceae. The record is from RNAcentral.
AGCCCUCUGGGCUCCUUGGUGAUUCAUGAUAACUUCUCGAAUCGCAAGGCCUUGCGCCGGCGAUGGUUCAUUCAAAUUUCUUCCCUAUCAACUUUCGAUGUUUGGGUAGUGGCCAAACAUGGUUGCAACGGGUAACGGAGGGUUAGGGCUCGACCCCGGAGAAGGAGCCUGAGAAACGGCUACUACAUCCAAGGAAGGCAGCAGGCGCGCAAAUUACCCAAUCCCGACACGGGGAGGUAGUGACAAUAAAUACCGAUACAGGGCUCUUUCGGGUCUUGUAAUUGGAAUGAGUACAAUUUAAAUCCCUUAACGAGGAACAAUUAGAGGGCAAGUCUGGUGCCAGCAGCCGCGGUAAUUCCAGCUCUAAUAGCGUAUAUUAAAGUUGUUGUGGUUAAAAAGCUCGUAGUUGAACCUCGGGCCCGGCCGGCCGGUCCGCCUCACCGCGUGCACUGGCCCGGCCGGGCCUUACCCCCCGCGGAACCCCGUGCCCUUCGCUGGGCGCGGCGGGGAAGCGGGACGUUUACUUUGAAAAAAUUAGAGUGCUCCAGGCAGGCCUAUGCUCGAAUACAUUAGCAUGGAAUAAUGGAAAUAGGAC